Eubalaena glacialis (North Atlantic right whale) is the source of this 776-nucleotide long non-coding RNA. RefSeq lists it as uncharacterized. Lineage: Eukaryota; Metazoa; Chordata; Mammalia; Artiodactyla; Balaenidae. The record is from RefSeq and is a predicted model, not a curated record. The transcript has 3 exons.
CUGGUCACCCGGUCGUUGGCUCCACCUUGCACCACCCAACAAAAUGGCAGGUAGCAUCAGGCGAGGCCGAGAGCGCCGGCUCCCGCUCCAGCCCAGCGCGGCCCCUGGCCAAACCGCCGGGGGUCUCUGACAGUACCCCAACUCCAAAGAGCCUUCUCCUCUCCAAGUCCCCAAUCCUCGGCCCCGCGGGGCCUCCUGCUCGCUCUCCCGGGACCACUUCUGUCGCCAGCGGAGGAGCAGGUGCCAGCGUAACAGCUCCCCUACCCCACUUCCCUCAAUUUAACUGCAAGACUGGUCUUGGAGCUGUGACUCAGAAGGUGAAAUCAAGGUCAUCAGUCACACCUAAAAAGUGGAGUGGCUCAGCUUAAAAUGGGACUCUUGUGGGAUUUGAAAAACACCACUAGAACAGUGUCGCCUACUGAAGUCAGAUGGGUCAGCUCAAACAUCUAGUGGCAGUGUAUGCCGGGCAGCUCUCAAUAAACAAAGUACAUCCAAAAGGAAGACCUCUUCAAGUUCUUUACCCUGAAGAUGUGCAGCUAUAGUGAUGGACCCCCAGAAUUUCAAUGAAUAAGCCUACAAUGACUUUGAAGUUCCCAGAAGUGCUCAGUGACUCAGAAAAGCCUCAACUGUGCUUGUCUUAAAAAUUACCACCAAGGGGAAAACUUCACUGUGUCCCUUCCAGCACCCUCCUUGCUGUACCAUGCAUCCCCCACCAUCCCCAGCUCUACCUGCUUUCUACCUGCUUCCACAAUGACCAGUGGAAUAAAAGAAAUAUC